CAGAGAGAGAGUGGAGACAGAUGGACGGAGAGGAAAGGAGGAGAAGAGAGAGAGAGACGGGGUGGAGAGAGAG
Molecule: non-coding RNA, 73 nt
Organism: Pangasianodon gigas (Mekong giant catfish)
Lineage: Eukaryota; Metazoa; Chordata; Actinopteri; Siluriformes; Pangasiidae
Source: the annotation of a GenBank genome assembly